UUUAUCCCUAUAGCUCAGUUGGUAGAGCAUAAGACACUGAAUGUCAGGGUUGUGGGUUUGAAUCCCACAUUGGAUGAAA
This is a non-coding RNA of Podarcis lilfordi (Lilford's wall lizard), 79 nucleotides long. Lineage: Eukaryota; Metazoa; Chordata; Lepidosauria; Squamata; Lacertidae. The record is from the annotation of a GenBank genome assembly.